This 460-nucleotide ribosomal RNA is filed under the name uncultured bacterium. Its description in RNAcentral is "partial 16S ribosomal RNA". It matches the Rfam family "Bacterial small subunit ribosomal RNA", at positions 338 to 795 of the family's 1533-position model. The record is from RNAcentral.
CCUACGGGUGGCAGCAGUGAGGAAUAUUGGUCAAUGGACGAAAGUCUGAACCAGCCAUGCCGCGUGCAGGAUGACGGCUCUAUGGGUUGUAAACUGCUUUUAUACGAGGGUAAACCCCGAUACGUGUACCUUUUUGAAAGUAUCGUACGAAUAAGGAUCGGCUAACUCCGUGCCAGCAGCCGCGGUAAUACGGAGGAUCCGAGCGUUAUCCGGAUUUAUUGGGUUUAAAGGGUGCGUAGGCGGUUUGAUAAGUUAGAUGUGAAAGGUCGUGGCUCAACCCUGAAACUGCCUCUAAUACUGGUGGACUGGAGAACAGUUGAGGUAGGCGGAAUGCGUGGUGUAGCGGUGAAAUGCUUAGAGAUCAUAAAGAACACCGAUUGCGAAGGCAGCUUACCAAACUAUAUCUGACGUUGAGGCACGAAAGCGUGGGUAGCAAACAGGAUUAGAUACCCUAGUAGUC